RNAcentral lists this long non-coding RNA (354 nucleotides) under Anas platyrhynchos (mallard). RNAcentral describes it as "lncRNA (ENSAPLG00020005526.1)". Lineage: Eukaryota; Metazoa; Chordata; Aves; Anseriformes; Anatidae. The record is from RNAcentral.
GAACGGUGUGCUUGAGGAGGUCUGUCGAAUCUUGAAAGCUUAACAGAUAUGGGGUUUUGAAUUUUUUAUUUUUAUUUCUUUCCUGUCCCCAGUAGAGCGUAAACCUUUGGAGGAACCUGUCACAGGAAAGAGCUCCUUCUGGAACUGUUCAGCACUCGCUGAAACACAGUGUACGACACGGGACUUGACGACCAGAGCUGCUUUUGGCAAGGUGCCGUGGCAGGCUCUCCACAGAAGCGGUUGAGGAUUUGAGAAGAGGUUGCAGAUGAUCAAGGAGCGACACGUGCAGGGAUGGCUUGAAAAGGGUAUGGCUGCUUUCUCUUCUGUUUAUCAGGUGUCCCAGGCAAUGUGGGC